GUAGAUGAUACACUUAGACCUCGAAGAGCUGGGGGCCUUGACACCGAACUUUACGCUUGAAUUGCAGAAACAUCUGGGGUAUACCCUCCUCCAGGACAACCGUACCCACCUGGACCCCUUGGGGGCGAGGCAGCAUACCCCCCUGGACAACCGGGUGGAGCACCUCCUUACCCCACUGGACAACCAGGCGGGGUGCCACCCUACCCUCCACAGUAAUCCACGCGUCAAUGUGACCGUUGUGGACGGCUUUUGGGAAUUUUUUUGCAGCUUUUAAUACGAGAAAAGUGAAGGAGAAAGAUCACGAUCGCCAUCUCUUGCUUAAUUUUGCUAUUUUGCCACUUGAUUCGUGUUAAAAGUCGGAAAAUAAAUAAACAAAUUAAGAAGUGUGAAUAAAAAAAAAUAAAAAAGAAAAGAUCUGGUUUAUAAAAUAGACGGUAACAAUAACGAAUAUAUUAUUGAUAAUGAAUAUGAUAAUAGUAAUUUUGUGAUAAAUUAAACUCCUUGUGUUGGAUAUAGAGCGAGUAGAAAUUAGAUAGGCAACAGUCAGUAACCAUUAGGGUACUAUGAUUGUGUCCUUAAUCUGAACUGGUUAGCUCACAUGACCACCACAAACCGCAUAAUAUCAAGUCAAGGUCUUAUAAUUAUUCGAUCUAAAAGAAAUACAUUUUCAGAACGAAUGCAAAUCAAGUCUUCAUCUCGUAAUUGAAUUAAAAAAACUUCAAUUUAAACUUUCUUCUGUGGCGGGUCGUUACAACAGUCUCACUAUACUGAUUAGCAGAUUCUCCAGGUAAGCGAAUUUAGAGACAGAAAAACAAAAACAAAAUAACUUCUUUCUCACUUCGAUUCUGCUGAAAAAUGUGGAAUCUAUUUAUUAGUUUCAUAGUCUAAUUCUAACAGGAUACGAUGGUUUCUUUCACUGUGGUUUCUUUUUCUCGAAAGUGAACUGCAGAUUUGCAAACUAAUGGGGCCGAAAAUUCUCCAGAUAACGUCAUUGUGAGAAAACACUGUAACAGAUAUAUAUUAAAAAAUCCGGACAGUUA
Molecule: unclassified non-coding RNA, 1040 nt
Filed under: Pocillopora damicornis (cauliflower coral)
Lineage: Eukaryota; Metazoa; Cnidaria; Anthozoa; Scleractinia; Pocilloporidae
Description: tolloid-like protein 2, transcript variant X2
Source: RNAcentral